This 1295-nucleotide non-coding RNA is filed under the name Anopheles sinensis. RNAcentral describes it as "Eukaryotic large subunit ribosomal RNA". It matches the Rfam family "Eukaryotic large subunit ribosomal RNA", at positions 1 to 1001 of the family's 3401-position model. Lineage: Eukaryota; Metazoa; Arthropoda; Insecta; Diptera; Culicidae. The record is from Rfam by way of RNAcentral.
AAGCCUCAAGUUAUGUGUGACAACCCCCUGAAUUUAAGCAUAUUAAUAAGGGGAGGAAAAGAAACCAACCGGGAUUCCCUGAGUAGCUGCGAGCGAAACGGGAGAAGCUCAGCACGUAGGGAUGGCGGCCCGCCCGUCUAUCCGAUUCCGUGUACUGGUACGUCUCACUAUCCGUCUUCCUAGUGGUAUUCAAGUCCAACUUGAACGUGGCUUUGAACCCAUAGAGGGUGAUAGGCCCGUAGAACACCACCCAGCGGUUGAUGGACCGAGCGUACCAUGGAGUCGUGUUGCUUGAUAGUGCAGCACAAAGUGGGAGGUAAACUCCUUCUAAAGCUAAAUACGACCAUGAGACCGAUAGUAAACAAGUACCGUGUGGGAAAGUUGAAAAGCGACUCUGAAUAGAGAGUCAAAUAGUACGUGAAACUGCCGAGGGUGUAAAGCCUGUUGAACUCGAUUAUCCGUAGUUCCUGGCAUCGUGGGUUUUGGCUGUACACGCAGAAGGGGGCCUUCUGUAUGCCUUGACCCUAGCCAGGAACGAGUGCGGACAUCGUGAUCCAUUACGCAAACCAAAUGCGAGCGGCGACUCCGGUUGCUGCGAGCAUAUCCAACAUCAGGUCCCAGAACAUGCGGUCGACCCUCUAGUAGUGGCGCUCAGCUUAAGGCCGGCGUCGCGAACGGGGGAUCGAGGCUCCGGUCUCGAGUUCGGCUAGUUCCGGUGUGCCGUUGGAUGCGUGAUGGGCAUUGAAGUGAACUAGAGAAGUGUGAAGCGCAUGUUUGGGCAUAGUUCAAGGGCGAAAGCCUGAGCCGAGCACGACUCCGGAUCUACGAUGUACUAACUAAUCGAGGUACCUACGGGACCCGUCUUGAAACACGGACCAAGAAGUCUAUCUUGCGCGCAAGUCAAUGGGAGUAGCAAACCCAAAGGCGAAGAUAACACAACUGCAAAGUCGUUGCGGGAUUACGGGUGCACCACAGUCCGCGAGGACUGGCUAGCUGUGCCGCCCCUCCAUCCCCGGGUGUUUAGCAACGGAUCUGUAGUGCCGCGGACCCCCCGACAGGGGUGGGCAUUUGCAGAGCCAACGCGACAUACCGCGAGCGCGCAGGAUGUGACCCGAAAGAUGGUGAACUAUGCCUGAUCAGGUUGAAGUCAGGGGAAACCCUGAUGGAGGACCGAAGCAAUUCUGACGUGCAAAUCGAUUGUCAGAGUUGGGCAUAGGGGCGAAAGACCAAUCGAACCAUCUAGUAGCUGGUUCCCUCCGAAGUUUCCCUCAGGAUAGCUGGAGCACGUAACGUUU